CAAAUUGUCAAUAGAAGUGGAGCAGAAGCAUGGAAGAUAGAGAUGGGAUAACCCAUUUGAAGGAUCCAUUCCAUCUCUUUGCCAAUGCAAGUCUGUUCCUCACAGUACUGACACCAUCACCAAGUGACUGAAGCUCUGAUCAAAGGGGAAA
This is a long non-coding RNA of Caretta caretta (loggerhead turtle), 151 nucleotides long. RefSeq lists it as uncharacterized. The record is from RefSeq and is a predicted model, not a curated record. NCBI's taxonomy places the organism in Eukaryota, Metazoa, Chordata, Testudines, Cheloniidae.